UACGUAGGGUGCGAGCGUUAAUCGGAAUUACUGGGCGUAAAGCGUGCGCAGGCGGUCUGUUAAGACAGAUGUGAAAUCCCCGGGCUCAACCUGGGAACUGCAUUUGUGACUGCAUGGCUGGAGUGCGGCAGAGGGGGAUGGAAUUCCGCGUGUAGCAGUGAAAUGCGUAGAUAUGCGGAGGAACACCGAUGGCGAAGGCAAUCCCCUGGGCCUGCACUGACGCUCAUGCACGAAAGCGUGGGGAGCAAACAGG
RNAcentral lists this ribosomal RNA (253 nucleotides) under uncultured bacterium. Its description in RNAcentral is "partial 16S ribosomal RNA". It matches the Rfam family "Bacterial small subunit ribosomal RNA", at positions 524 to 776 of the family's 1533-position model. The record is from RNAcentral.